RNAcentral lists this long non-coding RNA (4297 nucleotides) under Triticum aestivum (bread wheat). RNAcentral's name for it is "long non-coding RNA (TAES_LNC009469)". The record is from RNAcentral. Lineage: Eukaryota; Viridiplantae; Streptophyta; Magnoliopsida; Poales; Poaceae.
UUAAGAAAUUUCUUGGGAAUUCAUUCUUAGUCCAUGGCCCACAUUCAGUAAUGGAUCUAAACAGUACUUUUUAAUGCAAGGGGUAGGCGGGAUUAUUUAUACGUAAACAAGGUCACAGUAUAAACCAUGGUUUUUGAGUUGCUGUAUAGUCGCCGACUAAUCGCCAAGUCAUUUUCCAAAAAUCAAGGCGACUCGCGACUAUACAGCGACUUAUGGCGACUAUACAGCGACUUCCGUCGACUAAUCGCCUAGCCGCAGGGCUCGCGGCGACUCGCCAAGUCGGGACUCAAAAACCUUUGUACAAACAUAUCAAUACAAACAAACAUAUAACACACGGACAACCUCAAGAACUUGUAUAUUGUUUGGUUCGCAGAUAACAGGAAGCUUCCAACGCCUGCCAACACAAGAUCCUACCGAAUCCUGCUACGCGGAAAUGGUUCAUCUCUUGCUUAUGAGCCGCCAUUAGGGAUCCGCGGGCAGUCUCGCUGAGCCGCAGCUGCCACAAAUGAUUAAGAAAAAACAAGUUAAUUAGUUAGAAAGAAAAGAGUACAUGAUUUAAUUUACUGGGAAACAUCAGCUGUGGUGGCUAAUUAACUUACGGUUGCUGCAUUUGGACGGCCCACUAUUUGCCAGGAUACCACCAACGAAAACCAGCAGAACGAGGAGGAUCAGCAUCAGCCGAACCGAGGUCGCAGAGGAGUUGUUGUUCACCAUCCUCGAUCUUUCGUCUCUUUGCUCCUUCCUGUGUUUCUAUUCUACUUGGAUUGGCGACCUGGCUCACAAUUUGUGCAAUGGGUGCUCGACUAGAGCACUUAUAUAUAGAGUAGUACGUAUAGUUUCCAUGUGUGAAAGUAGGGUAGGUGCAGAUGCGGAAGAUGAAGAAAAAUGGUGUGGUGCUUCUGGGGGUUUGUGGAAGGAGUAGUAUUGUAGUACAAGUUGAUCAAAUUAAAGGAUAUGAUACUCCUAUCCUAUGGCAAAGGCUAGUGUUCUUGGAUUUCACAAAACAGACUUGAAUAACAUGUAAUCUUUUUUUAUUUGAAACAAUUUAUUUUAAAUUUAAAUUGCUAGUCAAAGUGCCACCUAGAAGAUCUUAUCAAUUAGUUAUCUCAAACGAUAUUUAUAUUCUAGAUCACAGGGAGUAUAUCCAAGGGGGAACGAUCGAGUUGGGUUCCUAUCACAGCCAAGUGGCCCAAGUGGCCCAAGUGUACACACAUUCUUUUUGGCCUUCAUGCAUCUGAGAGAGGUAGCAAAAUCAACUUGGGUAGUCCAAAAGAUAAUCUUUCAAUUCUUCAUGGAAAGGUAGUCUGAAACUAGGACCGGGAUAACUGGAAGGAGACUUGAAUUGCUCACAUAGAAUAGAGAGGAGGAUUUUGCUUAAAAUGAUAAGAGUCAGGAGAGGGUCUAUGUUAAUAGAGCUCUUUAGAUGUUUGUGACUUGUGGGACUGGUUUCACAUGACCCAGAUAUUUUUAUUACUUUCUGUGAUAUGCAUCUCAGUUGUUCAACUUGACUAACUAGUUCUUCAAUACGUACCACAUAGAAGUUUGUAUUGAUGUCUAUACCACUAUAUAGUAUACCAAUAUCACGGCAUAUGAACUGUUGGAUGUUUAAUCGAUUGGAGCAUGUUAAAUGGAUUUCUUUCUGGAGCAGUGUGGACAUACAUGCACCGUUUGACUUGUCAAUCUAACGGCCCAAGUUACAGGUAACAAUACACUGACCUCCGGUGAAUAUGGGCCGUCCGUCGGACCGGAUUAUAUGGUCCGAUGUAUAGUCACACCUUCAAUUAUUUAUCAAGGGCUCCACAUAUUUCAUAGAACAAUUAUUUUACGAGAUGUACUGAUUCAAACGAAACUCUAUAAGCUUCAACUAUGACUUGCUUAGCACAUGCCACAGUGCUAGUAGAAAAUAGUUCUUCAAAGAAAUUCAUUAAUCAUAUAUAGUCUACUGCUCAUGAGAGUGGCAAUUUGGCACAUGGGAGCGCGCCCUCCUAGUUUUUAAAAUGUGUUUUAAACAUAUUUUGAAAUGUCAAAAAAUUCCAAAUAAAACUUGGCACGUACAUCUCUAUAUUGUACAUGCUCACAAAGUCGUUCCGCGAAAAACUGACAACUUAUUUGUCGCAUGUGAAAAAGAUAAAAUCCGGUGUUAAAAAAAUGUUUUUCACAAGACAUCCUUUUGUCUUUUUUACACAAGUCACAAAAAAUGUUGGUUUUCCGUGAAACUUGACGUGCACACAUAUAAUGUCGAGAUGUAUGCGCCGAAUUUUCGUUUGGAAUUUUUUCACACUUUGAAAAAAAAAAUCACGUGCAGGAGCGCGCGCUCCCGGGAGCACCAACGGAUUUCCGACUGCUCAUUUACUACUACAUGUUAUUAGCUACAAUUACCUAUAAUUACAAUGGAUUUACUUAUUCAUCCUAUGCCCUUUUGACGAUAACCGUCGUCAUUGCUACCAUCAUGGCCAACUCUACAUCAUAUCCGCUCUCCUAGCUCAUUGCCAAGUCACAUAGUUGAAGAGACACAAAAUACAAGUUAUAAGGUUACAUACAUAGUUACAAAGACACAAAAUAUAAGUUACAAGAAACUGUAAUUGCCAUCUUUGCCCUUCAUGCAUAGCUGUUAGGAUCAUACUGGAUCGGCGGUCUAACAGGAAAAAAGGAACCAAGGCGUUAACCGAUCCAACCAAACGAUCAGGUGUGCAAUUGGGAUCAAACUGAAAAAAACCGAUAACUCAUGACCCCCGAUAACUCAGGACCGUCCCUAAUUGUAUCUAGUAACAUGUAGUAGUGAAUGAGCAAUCGACAAUGUAUAUGAUCUAAUCCCCGCAAAAAAAAAACGUCUAUGAUCCAAUAAAUGUCUUUGAAGAACUGCUAUACUAGCAUGCUGGCACAUGCAAAGCACGUCCAUAGCUGAAGUGUAUAUAAUUUCAACUGAAUCGGUACAUCUUAUAAAUAUAUUUUGUGUGAAAUAUGGGGCCUUUGAAAAAUCUACCAUGUAGUCCCUUUUGAUUUUAAAUAAUUGACGGUGUGGCUGUCCAUACCAAAGUUGCCACCUAUAACCUGGGCCAUUAGAUUGGCAAAUCAAAAGGUGCAUUUUGGUCCACAUUGUUGCAGAAAGAAAUCCAUUUGACAUGAUCCAUUUGAUUAAAGAUCUAAUGGUUCAUAUGGUAAUACUUAGUAGUAUAGAUAUAGAUAUGUGAGAGCCUAGAGCUUAAUCGGCACUAAUCUCCUGUGAAAAACAAUAGAAAGACAAUGACCAAACACUUCAAAAAAAAUCAGCACGAAUCUUGCGCAUAAUCCCGUGGCUACAGCAUCUACUGAGCUGUAUAUAUUUCUCAAUCGAUUGAGAAAUUGCAAACUGUAUAAAUAUAUUUUUAUGUGAGAUAUAUACCGAAGAACUAGUUAGUGAAGCUGAACAUGAAAAAUAAACUCAGAUGCUCAUCACAGAUAAUUAUAAAAAUAGUUGGAUCAUGUGAAACCAGUCCCAGAAAUCAAAAACAAAAAUAUCUAAUAAUUCGAAACAGUCAAGAAAUUUCUUGGGAAUUCAUUCUUAGCCCAUGGCCCACAUUCAGUAGUAGAUCUGAACAGUACUUUUUAAUGUACGGGGUAGGCCAUAUUAUUUAUAUGUAAACCAUGUCACAGUACAAACAUAUCAAUACGAACAAACAUCACAGAUCACACACCAACACCUCAAGAACAUGUAUAUUGUUUUUUUCGCAUGUAUAAUAGGAAGCUUCCAACGCCUGCCAACACAAGAUCCUACCGAAUCCUGCCACGCGGAAAUGGUCCAUCUCGUGCUUAUGAGCCGCCAUUAGGGAUCCGCGGGCAGUCUCGCUGAGCCGCAGCUGCCACAAAUGAUUAAGGAAAAACAAGUUAAUUGGGUAGAAAGACAGGAGUAGAUGAUUUAAUUUACUGGGAGAGGGUUCACAUGCAUAUGCAUGGAAGGAAACAGGAGCUGUGGUAGCGUGCUUACGGUUGCUGCAUUUGGACGGCCCACUAUUUGCCAGGAUGCCACCAACGAAAACCAGCAGAACGAGGAGGAUCAGCAUCAGCCGAACCGAGGUCGCAGAGGAGUUGUUCUUCACCAUCCUCGAUCGUUCGUCUCUAUUCUACUUCCUGUGUUUCUAUUCUACUUGGAUUGGCGACCUGGCUCACAGUUUGUGCAAUGGAUGCUCGACUCGAGCACUUAUAUAUAGAGAGAACGUUGUCUUUGGAUUUUGCCUUGUUUGGCAGUAGAUGCUUUCUCCCUUUCGGCAGGUUUGAUACAGUUUGGCUUGCGAGCAUUUAGGCCGUAGUUCUACUUUUC